Oncorhynchus kisutch (coho salmon) is the source of this 68-nucleotide microRNA precursor. The record is from Ensembl. NCBI's taxonomy places the organism in Eukaryota, Metazoa, Chordata, Actinopteri, Salmoniformes, Salmonidae.
ACCUUGGCUCUAGACUGCUUACUGCUUAAAACUCAGUGAAACUACAGUAACAGUCUACAGUCAUGGCU